This 78-nucleotide transfer RNA is filed under the name bacterium. Its description in RNAcentral is "tRNA-Pro". It matches the Rfam family "tRNA". Rfam says of the family: Transfer RNA (tRNA) molecules are approximately 80 nucleotides in length. The record is from RNAcentral. RNAcentral also lists the same sequence under 2 other names.
CGAGGUGUAGCGCAGCCCGGUUAGCGCAUCACGUUAGGGACGUGGAGGCCGGAGGUUCGAAUCCUCUCACCUCGACCA